Triticum aestivum (bread wheat) is the source of this 2288-nucleotide long non-coding RNA. RefSeq lists it as uncharacterized. The record is from RefSeq and is a predicted model, not a curated record. NCBI's taxonomy places the organism in Eukaryota, Viridiplantae, Streptophyta, Magnoliopsida, Poales, Poaceae. The transcript is spliced from 4 exons.
CUCUAACUUGCAUGAUUUGAAUGGAACUAACCCGGACUGACGUUGUUUUUAGCAGAAUUACCAUGGUGUUAUUUUUGUGCAGAAAUAAAAGUUCUUGGAAUGACCCAAAACUUCACGGAGGCACGUUUUGGAAUUAAUUUAAACAAAUAAUGAGGCUGGACAACUCGCUCCUAGGGAGCUCCCUCGAUUUCAACCUAUGUUGGCCGUUCGAUCAAGCUCUUUCUGGUCAACCGUUUCCUUUUGGCCAUUCGAUUGCUUUCUGUUCGCUGACUCCAGUUUCACCCCGUUGUUAAUUUUUUCCACGUCCAUGACUGGUGAGCUCUUGUGGCCGCGGUAUUGGCUGGGUGAAUCCCCGACGGGUGAGAAAGAGCCUAUCCUCGCGCACCACGCGUUCGAUCCGCGGCUCGCGUCGUGCGUCCGGGGAAGCCGCGGAGGGUGGUUGGACAACGCAUGCGCACCCGCUUUGGGCAGUCUCCACGCGCUGACAGAUGGUCCCGUGCUGCUUCUGGCCCCGCUCAUCAGCUGCCGUGGAUACGCUCCUCACGGGAUGGGUUGUCGGGCAGGUCGUGCAGCGUGCGUCACGGAGGAGCCGCGGUGCGUCGUCCGUCUUGGAGGGCCCGCGCAGGAUGGGCAUGCGCAUGUUCACCCGACUUGUACACACCCCUGCCGCUGCUGCAGUGACAUGUGGUCCCGUACUGCUGCUGAUCCCACCCAUCGGUUGCAGCGGCUCCACUGCGUGGUCUCGUGGCGUCCCGUCUGGGAUUUCCUGGUCGUGCGCAUCGUGGACUGGCCCAUGCAUGCCUGUCGCCUGCAUCGUGUCUCGCGUCUGGAGACGGGUGUCCGCUCUGCCCACGCGGCGUCGCAUCCAACUCGUAUUGUCCGCUUUCUUUUUUUAAGUCAUUUGUGAUCGAUAUUCCGCGUUUCUCCCUCUGUCCGGUGGCCCCUGUCCCAUUCUGGUCCCGCGCGUCAGCGUCAUCUGCCACGCGUCGGCGCCGUCCACUUUGAAAGGCGCGGGCUUCUCCUUGGGUGGAGCCAUUUGCAGGAGGUGUCGUUCAGUGGGCGCCGUGUGAUUUGCACAUCAUAGUCUUCGAUUGGUGGGUGGGAUGGACUGACGAAUGUACACCCGCCCUUACCUCUUCCCACUAUGACGGGUGGCCCAGAUUAGCGGCUAGUCCCAUGAGUCGGUGGGUUACUUAUUGAUUGGGUCACCUAGGGAACGUGCCAGAGCGGUUUGGGCCAAUGUGCCUGUCCCGCGCCGUGCGCGACGUGCGUGCUGCGUCUGCGCUGAUGGGUAAUUGGUUUGCUGCCAAAAAUUGGCAUGCCAAUGUUUAGCAUUGUGCCAAAUAUUGGUAACUACUUGGUUGGCUACGAAUUAUUUUGCCUAUCUCACAUAAAGUUGCCAAUAGUUGGUAAAUUUUGGUAUUGCCAAUAUUUGGCAAUGCCAAAUAUUGGUAACAAACCGAUUAUGCUCGAAAACCUAGGUUUGACGAGAGAUUUCCGCGCCGCCACCUGAACUCCCUCGGACGCGCGCUCCUCUCCUCUCCCCAAUCUCCAUCUCCAUCUCCAUCCUCGUCAGCGACGAAACCCACCACCUCCUUCUUCUCUGCCGUGACCCUCUGUUCUCUUCUCCUCCCGAAUCUCUCUCAUGUCGUUGUGCUAGCACCGAGCACCGCGUCAGCCCAACCCUCUCUGCUGCGCAGGAGGCAGGAGGACGAACAACGGCGGUCCGAGCUCCGCUGCCUCCAUCCCUGUCUCGUCCUCCUCUUGUGCGCCGGCCGACCGGAGGCUGCCUCCCUGGUUCCCCCUGAUCUGCGCGGUUGGACCUUCAUAGCGCUGUUCAACCACAUCCACAUGGUGGUAUGUGCGAGCGAUGACGCCGGUGGCCUGUGGCCAGAUAUGGAGGCUUAGCUAAUGCAGCGGCAUGGCAACUUAGAUGCGAGCACUAGCUGUCUGUAUAAAUGCACAAGGAGGAGUGCUUAGGGGAGGACGAUAGUUGUUUGUAUAAAUGCACAAGGAGGAGUGCUUAGGGGAGGGCGAUAGCUUUCAGGUGUACAUGGAGGAGGUGAAGGCGACUACAGAGGAGCUUGCCGUAGCUGCUCACCUUCUUCUUUCAGCCCAUCUCAAGAAUUAUAGUGCAGUUUUUGUGGAGAGCCCAUGUUGGUUUGCUUGAUUUAUGUUCAAAAUGGACAAUACAAUGCUCUUUGAGUCAAGUUUGUAUAUAUUCCGAGUACUCCUUUAUUAUUUAUCAACUGAGGCAUGAUUGUUGUUGCACUUCUUACUAAAAAUAA